AAGAUUAUAGUUAAUUAUAACAUUUGAUUUGCACUCAAAAAGUAUUGUACCCCAAUUUUUCUUA
Molecule: transfer RNA, 64 nt
Filed under: Lachesilla anna
Lineage: Eukaryota; Metazoa; Arthropoda; Insecta; Psocodea; Lachesillidae
Description: tRNA-Ala
Rfam family: tRNA
About the family: Transfer RNA (tRNA) molecules are approximately 80 nucleotides in length.
Source: RNAcentral